This 369-nucleotide unclassified non-coding RNA is filed under the name Hevea brasiliensis (rubber tree). The record is from RNAcentral. Lineage: Eukaryota; Viridiplantae; Streptophyta; Magnoliopsida; Malpighiales; Euphorbiaceae.
UUUGAUCUCUUUCACUCUUCAGGUAACUUGCACUUCUCUGGUUUUUGAUUUGCCUGGCCUUUACGAAUUACGAUCCAUUAAUGAUAGCUUAUUUAGUUACAAGUUUUAUAUUAUCAGUUGUAUUUAAGCAAGCAAUUUUCUUGUCGUUUUAUACUUGUCGUUCUAUGUCUAGAUCUUUGAAUUCAAGCUUUUAUUACUUUGCGUAAAUGUCGGACAUAGAAUUUGAUUGCUUUUUCCAUGUGGGUAUGUUUCUCUUUUUCUGAAAUGAUAGCUGUUUCUUCAAAUAUGAUAUUCCUUCUAUGUUGAUUUUCAAACUUUUAAUGGUGCUUCUUUCAAACCCUUUUUCCUUUUUCUUCCCAACAAUUAUUG